This 776-nucleotide ribosomal RNA is filed under the name Sculptolumina japonica. RNAcentral describes it as "mitochondrial SSU rRNA". It matches the Rfam family "Bacterial small subunit ribosomal RNA", at positions 370 to 1210 of the family's 1533-position model. The record is from RNAcentral. Lineage: Eukaryota; Fungi; Ascomycota; Lecanoromycetes; Caliciales; Caliciaceae.
AAUAGCCUAACGGCUGAACCAGCAACUUGAAAGAAUGUAUAGCGAAAUCUAAUUGUAUUUAAUUUAUACAACAUUGACUUUGUUAAAUAAAGUUCUAGGUAGAAUUAUGAUGAUGACAUUGUCUAUCUAUGUGUCUUGACCAAAUUACGUGCCAGCAGUCGCGGUAAUACGUAAAAGACUAGUGUUAUUCAUCUUGAAUAGGUUUAAAGGGUACCUAGACAGCCAAUCAAGCCUACAAAGGGGACUAAUCGGCUAGAGUUUAAUAUAAGGAGGCUUUAAAGUACUGAUGAUGUAGAGAGAUGAAAUACUGUGAUACUAUAUAUGGCACUGUCAUAUGCGAAAGCAUCUUCUUAUGUAAAAACUGACGUUGAGGGACGAAGGCUGUGUGUAGCAAAAAGGAUUAGAUACCCAAGUAGUCUCAGCAGAAAAUGAUGAAUGUCAUAGGAUAGAAAUAAAUUUGUUCUAUAAAUGAAAGUGUAAGCAUUCCACCUUAUGAGUAAUUUGGCAACAUUGGAACUGAAAUCAUUAGACCGUUUCUGAAACAAGUAGUGAAGUAUGUUGUUUAAUUUGAUGAUCCGCAAAAAACCUUACCACAACUUGAAUAUAAAAUUAUUAAUACAAGCGUUGCACGGUUGUCUUCAGUUAAUGUCGUGAGAUUACUGGUUAGUUCCAUUAAAUUAACGUAAACCCUUACUUUAUUUUUUUAUAGAGUAGUUCACCGCUAGAUUGGAUAUGAUAAAAGGGACUAAGACAAGUCAUCAUGACCUUAAUGUUGU